Molecule: RNA transcript, 2013 nt
Organism: Lycium barbarum (goji berry)
Lineage: Eukaryota; Viridiplantae; Streptophyta; Magnoliopsida; Solanales; Solanaceae
Gene name: F-box/kelch-repeat protein At3g23880-like
Exons: 3
Source: RefSeq, a predicted model, not a curated record
ACGCACUACUCUUUAGAACGAAAACAGUGUUAUUGGAACCGUAAUAACUGGAGUACAUUCAAAGCCCCUUUUAUAAAAGAAAAUGUAAAAGCUAGUAUAAAAGUCUUCUCCACGGCAAAUUUCCAAAUCCAAGAGUUCCAAUUUCUUUCUGUAACCCAAAUGGAAUCCGAAGGAAAUGAAGCAAAAUGGUGCAAACCCACAAAGCCUGCUCAAUUUCCUUCCAUUUCAAGUCAAGAUACUGUCUUGCCAAUGCCUAACCUUCCUGCAGAGAUAGUCACUGAAAUCUUGUUAAAGCUUCCUGUGAAAUCUCUCUUGAAAUUCAGGUCUGUUUCUAAAUCUUGGCUUGAAUUAAUCUCUAGCCCUCAUUUUGUGAAGACCCAUCUCUUGUUAUCUUCUAGUGACAAGGACUACACCCACCAUGGACUUAUGUUUAAGUUUGCUAGUACAUCUGACCAAGGCGUCAAGGAUUGUUCUCUUAGCGCUUUACUUAACCAUCCUAUAACUGAGGCAUUUGACUUGGAUUAUCCUGGUAAAAAUCCCAAAGAUUAUCCUUGGCUUGUAGGUUCUAUCAAUGGAUUGAUUUGUCUUUCCAUCAGAAUAGAUGACGGAUUAUAUGACUUGUUUCUAUGGAAUCCUUCAAUUAGAAAGUAUAAGAAACUGCCUAAUUAUAGACUUAAUCUAAGCCGCCAUCGUUACUUUUUGGAGAAAUGUUUGGAGGAACCUGGUGGUUGCAAAUUUGGUUUUGCAUAUGAUGAAUUCCAAGAUGAUUACAAGGUAGUGGGUAUUUUUCCUAUUCACAAUCACAGAUACAUACGUCUGUGUCGUAUUGAGGUCCAGAUAUAUAGUCUAAAGAGUAAUUCUUGGAGGCGUAUUAGCGACUUUCAGGGUAGAGAAUUUUUGAAUGUUCCGGGCAAGCUUGUGAAUGGAAAACUUCAUUGGUUUGAAAAGGGAUGGAACAUCAAUUCUAUUGAUUUGGGUAAUGAGAAAUGGACAGAGAUAGAAAAGCCGUGCAAUUUUAAAGAGUAUGGUCAUUUUUUUCUAGGAGUGCUUGGAAGUGAUCUGUCUGUGUUGUGUAAUUACACGUGGUGUCAUGCAGAUGUCUGGGUUAUGAAGGAGUAUGGAGUAAAAGAAUCUUGGACAAAGAUGUUUACUAUCAGGUCUCCUGAUGACUUUAGGUCACAUAUAUCUCUACCCAUUUUAGUAUCAAACGAAGGUGACAUUUUGCUAGAAAUUGGAUCACGUUUGGCGAAAUAUAAUCCAAAGGAUGAGUCAAUCAAAUAUCUAGAUGUUACUAAUUUUGCUCCAUAUAUUGAGGCAGAAAUCUACGUUAAGAGCCUAGUUUGUCCCUUUUUACAGAAUGGACCACGAAUGCAAUUACUACAGAGGUUCAAAUAACUCAGAUGAAGACAACUGUGUGACUAAUAUCCUGUCAAAGCUUGAUAGGGAAAAGGUUGGAUGUGAUAAGUUACCUGGUACGUGUGCUAGUGGGAGGUAGCAAGUAUUUGGUAGAAUAGUCAAGAUGCUCAAGUUGAAUGGAGCACCGCCAUUAUCGACAAAAAAGGGAAAAGGGAGGAAAUGCAGGAAUUAUUUAACGAAGUUUAAGAGGUUCAACAGCAAGUUCAGGAGCGGAAGUCCAACCAUUUUUACUAUGAGUAUGACUAAAAAGUAAUUCAACAAGAGUCGAGAACUUAGAAGACGGAUUGAGUAUGAACCGCAGACUAAUGAAGUGUUUAUCUCUUUUCAGAGCAUCAAACAGAGAUAACUGGGAUAUUUAGGGGCUGAGUGAGAGGAGAAAACAGAAACACUUUGCUGGUUUUAUGCCACAGAAACUUUACUGGUUUUAUGUGCAGACAGACACUUGGUUUUCUUCUCCUUUGUUGAUUGUAUCUAAUUUGUUAAGUAUUGGUACUUACCAUUCUCUAGUAGGCAGCUUGGAAAUGGAAGACACUUGUUUCUUGUUUGCUUUCAUAAAAAUUGUUUGGACUUUAAAAUGGUAAGCCUAAUUAAUUCUGA